AGUGAACGCUGGCGGUAGGCCUAACACAUGCAAGUCGAACGGCAGCACAGUAAGAGCUUGCUCUUACGGGUGGCGAGUGGCGGACGGGUGAGGAAUACAUCGGAAUCUACUUUUUCGUGGGGGAUAACGUAGGGAAACUUAUGCUAAUACCGCAUACGACCUACGGGUGAAAGCAGGGGAUCUUCGGACCUUGCGCGAUUGAAUGAGCCGAUGUCGGAUUAGCUAGUUGGCGAGGUAAGGGCCCACCAAGGCAACGAUCCGUAGCUGGUCUGAGAGGAUGAUCAGCCACACUGGAACUGAGACACGGUCCAGACUCCUACGGGAGGCAGCAGUGGGGAAUCUUGGGCAAUGGGCGAAAGCCUGAUCCAGCCAUGCCGCGUGGGUGAAGAAGGCCUUCGGAUUGUAAAGCCCUUUUGUUAGGAAAGAAAAGCAGCAGGUUAAUACCCCGCUGUUCUGACGGUACCCAAAGAAUAAGCACCGGCUAACUUCGUG
RNAcentral lists this ribosomal RNA (492 nucleotides) under uncultured bacterium. RNAcentral's name for it is "partial 16S ribosomal RNA". It matches the Rfam family "Bacterial small subunit ribosomal RNA", at positions 29 to 507 of the family's 1533-position model. The record is from RNAcentral.